RNAcentral lists this ribosomal RNA (273 nucleotides) under uncultured bacterium. RNAcentral's name for it is "partial 16S ribosomal RNA". It matches the Rfam family "Bacterial small subunit ribosomal RNA", at positions 523 to 796 of the family's 1533-position model. The record is from RNAcentral.
AUACGGAGGGUGCGAGCGUUAAUCGGAAUUACUGGGCGUAAAGCGUACGUAGGCGGUUUGCUAAGUCAGAUGUGAAAGCCCCGGGCUUAACCUGGGAACUGCAUUUGAUACUGGCAGACUAGAGUAUGAUAGAGGGGGGUAGAAUUCCUGGUGUAGCGGUGAAAUGCGUAGAUAUCAGGAGGAAUACCAGUGGCGAAGGCGGCCCCCUGGAUCAAUACUGACGCUCAGGUACGAAAGCGUGGGGAGCGAACAGGAUUAGAAACCCCGUAGUCC